AGACAUUUAGUUUAGUGUAAAAUAAUCGAUUUCGGCUCGAAAAUCCACGGUUAGACCCCGUGAGUGUCUC
RNAcentral lists this transfer RNA (70 nucleotides) under Halichoeres nigrescens (bubblefin wrasse). RNAcentral's name for it is "tRNA-Arg". It matches the Rfam family "tRNA". Rfam says of the family: Transfer RNA (tRNA) molecules are approximately 80 nucleotides in length. Their secondary structure includes four short double-helical elements and three loops (D, anti-codon, and T loops). Lineage: Eukaryota; Metazoa; Chordata; Actinopteri; Labriformes; Labridae. The record is from RNAcentral.